Molecule: transfer RNA, 148 nt
Filed under: Fonsecaea erecta
Lineage: Eukaryota; Fungi; Ascomycota; Eurotiomycetes; Chaetothyriales; Herpotrichiellaceae
Rfam family: tRNA
About the family: Transfer RNA (tRNA) molecules are approximately 80 nucleotides in length. Their secondary structure includes four short double-helical elements and three loops (D, anti-codon, and T loops).
Source: Rfam by way of RNAcentral
GCUCCGCUGGCGCAAUGGUAGCGCGCCAGACUUCUAUACUGAUGGAAAUCUGGAGGGUACGUUCAUUCCCUCCAUCACCGCGCUGGUCAGCAGAGUAAAAAUCUAACAGACGUGUCUAUAGCUGUGUGUUCGAGUCCCACGCGGAGUG